UGCAAGUCGAACGGGAAAUAUUUCAUUGAGACUUCGGUGGAUUUGAUCUAUUUCUAGUGGCGGACGGGUGAGUAACGCGUGGGUAACCUGCCUUAUACAGGGGGAUAACAGUCAGAAAUGGCUGCUAAUACCGCAUAAGCGCACAGAGCUGCAUGGCUCAGUGUGAAAAACUCCGGUGGUAUAAGAUGGACCCGCGUUGGAUUAGCUAGUUGGUGGGGUAACGGCCCACCAAGGCGACGAUCCAUAGCCGGCCUGAGAGGGUGAACGGCCACAUUGGGACUGAGACACGGCCCAGACUCCUACGGGAGGCAGCAGUGGGGAAUAUUGCACAAUGGGGGAAACCCUGAUGCAGCGACGCCGCGUGAAGGAAGAAGUAUCUCGGUAUGUAAACUUCUAUCAGCAGGGAAGAUAGUGACGGUACCUGACUAAGAAGCCCCGGCUAACUACGUGCCAGCAGCCGCGGUAAUACGUAGGGGGCAAGCGUUAUCCGGAUUUACUGGGUGUAAAGGGAGCGUAGACGGUGUGGCAAGUCUGAUGUGAAAGGCAUGGGCUCAACCUGUGGACUGCAUUGGAAACUGUCAUACUUGAGUGCCGGAGGGGUAAGCGGAAUUCCUAGUGUAGCGGUGAAAUGCGUAGAUAUUAGGAGGAACACCAGUGGCGAAAGCGGCUUACUGGACGGAUACUGACGUUGAGGCUC
RNAcentral lists this ribosomal RNA (697 nucleotides) under uncultured Lachnospiraceae bacterium. RNAcentral describes it as "bacterial SSU rRNA". It matches the Rfam family "Bacterial small subunit ribosomal RNA", at positions 56 to 754 of the family's 1533-position model. The record is from RNAcentral. Lineage: Bacteria; Bacillati; Bacillota; Clostridia; Lachnospirales; Lachnospiraceae.